Molecule: long non-coding RNA, 362 nt
Filed under: Triticum aestivum (bread wheat)
Lineage: Eukaryota; Viridiplantae; Streptophyta; Magnoliopsida; Poales; Poaceae
Description: long non-coding RNA (TAES_LNC024577)
Source: RNAcentral
AACCUAUGCCAAGGCAAAAUCUAGGGCGAAGAAGGAUGCAGAAAGCAAAGCUGCUAACCAGGAGAAGACAGCAGAAGCAGAAAGCAAAGCUAACCAGGAGAAGUCAACAGCAGAAAGCAAACCUAGCCAGGAGAAAUCAACGGACGCAGAAAGCAAAGCUAAGACAACGGAAGAUGCUUCUGGUUCUACUUCAGGCGAGGCAGCUAAGACACAGGAGAAGGAUGGUGAUGCAAUGCAGGUAAGAAUAAGACUUAACUGUAUAUGAUUCGCUUCACUUUUUUCCAUCAUGUGUUCACAUUCAAGAAUUUUACCAGCUCAUAAUUAAGUCAUGCUAGUUACUUCUCUUGCUUUACAACCAUGCU